Molecule: transfer RNA, 95 nt
Filed under: Dilophotes sp. Zb LB-2014
Lineage: Eukaryota; Metazoa; Arthropoda; Insecta; Coleoptera; Lycidae
Description: tRNA-Glu
Source: RNAcentral
GAUUGGGGUAAUACUUACCCCAAUCAAGAAUCGCUAUUUAUAUAGUUUAAAAAAAACCCUACAUUUUCAUUGUAAAAUUAAAUCAUUCUUUGUAA